AGGAUAGUAAGAUUUUUUAGUUGUACCUUUUGUAUCAGGGGAGGUCAAAAGUUCCGUAAUUUGGUAAUCGAGUCAGCUAGAUCUUUGUUUUUAGAGUAUAGUUAAAUUUAGGCUCAGUAUUUAUCAAGGGGUGAAAAGUGUACGAGAGCUGAGAUAUCUAAUUGCUAUGUGUAAAUAAGAGGCAAAGCUCUUAUUGCUCCACAAAAAAUAAUUUUUUGUGGAGCUAGGCUUUAAAUUAGCCACGUUAAGAUAUUGUUUUUAAUAAUUUUUUAUGUGAUUAAGAGGUGGAGUUUUUAGUUACUAAGGUUAUCGGUAUUCUUUUAAAACAAUGAAUUUAUUGAACUAAUAGCGGAGUCAUAAAAUAACUCAGAUUAUGCGGGAUAGUUUAGCAAAAACAUUUCUUUUCUAUUAAAAAGUAAAGCCUGCCCGGUGCUUAGUAAACGGCUGCGGUAAUCUAACCGUGCUAAGGUAGCAUAAUCAAUUGCUUCUUAAUUGGGGGCUGGAAUGAAGGGUUAAACCUGUGUCUUAAGUUUGUAGGCUAGUAUGGAUAUUUAAGUAGAGGUAAUAAUACUUCUAGCUUCUAGGGGACGAUAAGACCCUAGAAGCUUUAUUAAGGGUUAUCUAGUAGUGGUAGGUAUAUAUUUUUUUUACUGGGGCGGUAGCGGUAAAUAAACUACUGUUUAUUGAAAGGUCCUCUUAUAGAGAUAGUACGGAUUAGUUACUCUAGGGAUAACAGUACAAUAGUUUUGAAGAGACCUUAUCGAUAAAUAUGCUUGUAACCUCGAUGUUGAAUUAAAAUGUCUCCGUGACGCAGGUGGUUCGAGAGAAGGUUUGUUCAACC
Molecule: ribosomal RNA, 841 nt
Filed under: Gammarus koreanus
Lineage: Eukaryota; Metazoa; Arthropoda; Malacostraca; Amphipoda; Gammaridae
Description: partial 16S ribosomal RNA
Rfam family: Bacterial large subunit ribosomal RNA (bases 554-841)
Source: RNAcentral